Molecule: ribosomal RNA, 434 nt
Filed under: uncultured bacterium
Lineage: Bacteria
Description: partial 16S ribosomal RNA
Rfam family: Bacterial small subunit ribosomal RNA
Source: RNAcentral
AGCGAACGCUGGCGGCAGGUCUAACACAUGCAAGUCGAACGAACCUUUCGGGGUUAGUGGCGGACGGGGGAGUAACACGUGGGAACGUGCCUUUAGGUUCGGAAUAACUCAGGGAAACUUGUGCUAAUACCGAAUGUGCCCUUAGGGGGAAAGAUUAAUCGCCUUUAGAGCGGCCCGCGUCUGAUUAGCUAGUUGGUUGAGGUAAUGGCUCACCAAGGCGACGAUCAGUAGCUGGUCUGAGAGGAUGGUCAGCCACAUUGGGACUGAGACACGGCCCAAACUCCUACGGGAGGCAGCAGUGGGGAAUCUUGCGCAAUGGGCGAAAGCCUGACGCAGCCAUGCCGCGUGAAUGAUGAAGGUCUUAGGAUUGUAAAAUUCUUUCACCGGGGACGAUAAUGACGGUACCCGGAGAAGAAGCCCCGGCUAACUUCGUG